UCUGAGAUCAUCACAUCCAAUGUGGCAGCACUGCCAGGUCCAUGAUUAACCCAAGUCCCUAAAACACCACGUCUACAAGCUUUUGGAACACUUCCAUGGAUGGAGACUCCACCAGCACUCUCAGCAGCCUGUUCCAAUGUCUCAUCACUCUUUUAAUGAAGAAACAUUCUCAAUAUCCAACCUAAACUUCCUCUGCUGCAGCUGAAGGCUGUUUCCUCUGGUCCUGUCCCAUGUUCCCUGGGAACCCUGAGGUUCCAUGAGGUCACUAAGGGAUAAACAGCCAGCCAGAGAACCCUGCAGGGCUAAACCCCUUCCCCCAGAGCUGUUACCAGCAGCAACACCUCCUGAAGGCAGCUUUCACUUUAUCUAUCCAUUAUUGAUGGGGGAAUUCAUCCGUGUGUAUUAUCGCAGGAUCUGCUCAUCAAGGUGCUUUCCUCCCCAUCCAGAAGCAGUCUGCAGAACAGAAACGCUCAUCAACCCAUCCUGACUCCCAAUAAUGCAGCAAACUUCCCAGAAAAGGCUGUGGGAGCAUUACCAGCUUGUUUCCGUCCCCUGAGGCGAUGACAGCCAGGGACCUCACUCCAUCACACAGCAAAGGUCACUCCAGCCGGUGUUUCAGCACAUGCCUGUGAUAAAUGAGUGUUCCCAGCUCAGAAAGGCUCUAUUGGAUUUGGCACUCACUCAGAGCCAUCAGCAGCUGCCGUCCCUCCAGCAAGCCUCCAGGCACUUGGGAUGCAAGCCUGGAUUCAAAGCUGACCAGGUCUCCUCUGUUUCCAUGUGGAUUCUCGACUAAUUCAAGCCAGAAGGUUUAAAUUAUAAGAUCAAGAACUUCUCUGAAAUUCAUCUCUGUUCACAUCCUGCCCCGGGGCUGGGCUCUUUGUGCUCAUCCUCUGCCCAAGGGCACGGCUUCCCCAGCCAUGUUUAAGCCCUGGCAGGCAGGGCAGCCUCCAUAUUCCAAGUUUGGAUUCAGGAAUUCAAGGAGCAGAUAAAAGGAUUCAGCGUUUAUUUCCUC
Molecule: non-coding RNA, 1012 nt
Organism: Cyanistes caeruleus (blue tit)
Lineage: Eukaryota; Metazoa; Chordata; Aves; Passeriformes; Paridae
Source: RefSeq, a predicted model, not a curated record